Molecule: ribosomal RNA, 3355 nt
Filed under: Protorhabditis sp. DF5055
Lineage: Eukaryota; Metazoa; Nematoda; Chromadorea; Rhabditida; Rhabditidae
Description: eukaryotic LSU rRNA
Rfam family: Eukaryotic large subunit ribosomal RNA
Source: RNAcentral
AAGGCCCCAGCGUAGAAUCGCGAUGUCUUUGGCAUUGUGAAAUGUUACGUAUAGGUGUCGUAUGUCGUUGUUGAGUUUCACUUGAAGUCCUUUUGAAAGAGGCUGCCGUAGAGGGUGCAAGCCCCCCACAAGUGAACUGUUCAGCGAUCUCUCGGCGCUUUUGAGUCGGGCUGCUUGAAAGUGCAGUCUAAAGUGGGUGAUAAACUUCACCUAAGGCUAAAUAUCAUGGCGAGACCGAUAGCAAACAAGUACCGUGAGGGAAAGUUGGAAAGAACUUUGAAAAGAGAGUUCAAAAGAACGUGAAAUCGCUAACGUGGAAGCGAAUGGAGUCGAUGAAGUGCCGUAACAAAGUUAUCCUACUGGGCUUUACGUCUAGAUGGAUGGCGGUCGUUGUGGUAACUACGCUGACGGCUUUUGCGAUACGCGUUGAACAGUCCUAUGUUGCCCACUUGUGGUGUCUUAUAGACUGGUAGACUUGUUGUUGUGAAAGUUGUUCGUGGCAUUAAUUGCUAUGCGUCGGUGUGAAAGUCGACCACCCAUUCGACCCGUCUUGAAACACGGACCGCGAAGUGUAGCUCGUAUGCGAGUCUCAGAGUGUGAAACUUUGAGGCGUAAUGAAAGUGAAGGCAUCCUUGUGGUGUUGACAUGAGAUCCGUACUUGUGCGGCGCAUCAUGGUCCUGUCCGAAUUGCUUGCAAUGGGGCAGAGACAGAGCAUACGGGCUGCGACCCGAAAGAUGGUGAUCUAUGCUUGAGCAGAACGAAGUCAGAGGAAACUCUGAUGGAAGUUCGUAUAGGUUUUGACGUGCAAAUCGAUCUAUGGACUUGAGUAUAGGGGCGAAAGACUCAUCGAACCAUCUAGUAGCUGGUUCCUGUCGAAGUUUUUCUCAGAAUAGCUUGGGCUUAAUGCCGUUUAUAUCCGAUAAAGAUAAUGAUUAGAGGUAUUGGGAUCGAAACGAUCUCAACCUAUUCUCAAACUUUAAACGAGUAUAAUGCAUAGAGUUGCUUCAAUGAACUCUUUGCUUGAACGAGAGCCCCAAGUGGGCCAUUUCUGGUAAGCAGAACUGGCGAUGUUGAAUGAACCAAACGCCGGGUUAGGGUGCCUGAAUUCGCGCUUAUGAGACCCCAUAAAAGGCGUUAGUUGAUAUAGACAGCAGGACGGUGGCCAUGGAAGUCGGUACCCGCUAAGGAGUGUGUAACAACUCACCUGCCGAAUCAACUAGCCCUGAAAAUGGAUGGCGCUUAAGCGCGGUACCUAUACCCGGCCGCUUCGGUACGAGUUAUGUGUAACAGACCGUAGCGUGUAGACAGGUCGUAGCGAUGGCAUUGAAGGCUUUGGGAGUGAUCUCAGCUGGAGCCGUCGUUAGUGCAGCUCGCGGUAGUAGUAGCAAAUACCUAAGUUCGAUCCUUAGGGACUGAAGUGGGGAAGGUUUCCACGUGAACAGCAGUUGUAUGUGGGUAAGUCGAUCCUAAGAUACUGGCUAACGCCUUGUAUCAAUGAGAGGGUGAAGUCUAACUUUGCUCUUGUUCAUCGAAAGGGAAAAGGGUUAAUAUUCCCUUACGCCAUCGCAGUUAUAGUCGGUCGUAAGAUCGUCUUGUGCGGUAACGCUAUCAAAAUCGACUACGUGCUUUUGUGACCGGGCUAGAGUUUUCUUCUCUAGUUAAGAAACGGACUCCCUGGAAUCGGAUCAUCCGGAGAUAGGGACGUUGUUUUCGAAAAGUACCGCGGUUUCUGUGGUAUCCCGUGCUUACGAACGCACCCUUGAAACGUCGAUGGCGACAGUAACGCUGCAUGGCAUCGUACCGAUAACCGCAUCAGGUCCCCGAGGUGAACAGCCUCUAGUCGAUAGAAUAAUGUAGGUAAGGGAAGUCGGCAAAUUAGAUCCGUAACUUCGGGAAAAGGAUUGGCUCCAGAGACCGGGUCGAUUGGCCAGCAAGUUGAAGCUUGUACUGCUCUAUCCAUGUCUGGCUGAGGUUCGCCGAGGUCGGACUAGUGGUGGAGUGGUCUUGUGGACAUUUGUUGGUGUAUGCAUUGCUCUCGGGCUUUGUAUCCUGAUCGGCCACCAAAACGGUCAAGCUGGAACUGGUACGGACGCGGGGAAUCCGACUGUCUAAUUAAAACAGAGGAAACAGAAGGUCUUUGCAGACGUUGACUGUUUCUGAUUUCUGCCCAGUGCUCUGAAUGUUAAAUCGUAGUAAUUCGAUUAAGCGCGGGUAAACGGCGGGAGUAACUAUGACUCUCUUAAGGUAGCCAAAUGCCUCGUCAUUUAACUGGUGACGCGCAUGAAUGGAUUAACGAGAUUCCUACUGUCCCUAACUACUAUCUAGCGAAACUACAGCCAAGGGAACGGGCUUGGCAGAAAUAGCGGGGAAAGAAGACCCUGUUGAGCUUGACUCUAGCUUGAUUUUGUGAAGAAUCAUGAGAGGUGUAGUAUAGGUGGGAGACUUCGGUCGACAGUGAAAUACCACCACUUUCAUCGAUUCUUUACUCAUUUGAUUGUACAAGGAUGGGCUUCGGCCUAUUUGUUGGUGUUAAACACGGUCACUUGGUGACUGUGCGACUCUUAUCAAUGACAUUGUCAGGCGGGGAGUUUGACUGGGGCGGUACAUCUGUCAAAUCGUAACGCAGGUGUCCUAAGGCUAGCUCAGUGAGGACGGAAACCUCACGUAGAGUAAAAGGGCAAAAGCUCGCUUGAUCUUGACUUUCAGUAUUAGUACAGACCGCGAAAGCGUGGCCUAUCGAUCCUUUUAAUCCAGAUUGUUUCUGGUAAGAGGUGUCAGAAAAGUUACCACAGGGAUAACUGGCUUGUGGCAGCCAAGCGUCCAUAGCGACGUUGCUUUUUGAUCCUUCGAUGUCGGCUCUUCCUAUCAUUGCGAAGCAGAAUUCGCCAAGCGUUGGAUUGUUCACCCCUCAAUAGGGAACGUGAGCUGGGUUUAGACCGUCGUGAGACAGGUUAGUUUUACCCUACUGUUGACGGAUCGUUGCGAUAGUAAUCCUGCUUAGUACGAGAGGAACAGCAGGUUCAAACAUUUGGUUAAUGGACUUGGUCGAUCGACCAAUGGUCCGAAGCUACAAUUUGUUGGAUUAUAACUGAAAGCCUCUAAGUUAGAAUCCGGUCUAGUCAAGGCCAGGAUAAUAUGCCGACCGGUGUCGGGAGGCAUCUCUAUCUCGUGGUAACGCGAGAGCUUAUGCCCUAGUUAUGGCCUUUCCGUUGAGUAUAAUCACUCGGCGGUUGCCAUGCCAGAUUACUCUGGUUCAAUGUCGGGGCACAAAAUCACUUGCAUACGACUUGAUCACUGAUCAGGGUGUUGUAUCCGGUAGAGCAGUAUUCUUACACUGCGAUCUGUUGAGACUAU